GACGAACGCUGGCGGCGUGCCUAAUACAUGCAAGUUGAGCGCUGAAGGUUGGUACUUGUACCAACUGGAUGAGCAGCGAACGGGUGAGUAACGCGUGGGGAAUCUGCCUUUGAGCGGGGGACAACAUUCGGAAACGAAUGCUAAUACCGCAUAAAAACUUUAAACACAAGCUUUAAGUUUGAAAGAUGCAAUUGCAUCACUCAAAGAUGAUCCCGCGUUGUAUUAGCUAGUUGGUGAGGUAAAGGCUCACCAAGGCGAUGAUACAUAGCCGACCUGGGAGGGUGAUCGGCCACAUUGGGACUGAGACACGGCCCAAACUCCUACGGGAGGCAGCAGUAGGGAAUCUUCGGCAAUGGACGAAAGUCUGACCGGGCAACGCCGCGUGAGUGAAGAAGGUUUUCGGAUCGUAAAACUCUGUUGGUAGAGAAGAACGUUGGUGAGGGUGGAAAGCUCAUCAAGUGACGGUAACUACCCAGAAAGGGACGGCUAACUACGUG
Molecule: ribosomal RNA, 497 nt
Filed under: uncultured bacterium
Lineage: Bacteria
Description: partial 16S ribosomal RNA
Rfam family: Bacterial small subunit ribosomal RNA
Source: RNAcentral